GAGGAGAGGUUAUUCUGCACAAAGAGAGGGAGAAUCAAGUGAGAAAUCUUGAAAAAUAGAGAAGAAAGAGUUAGGAAGAAAUUUUUAGUUGCAUGAAGAGUAGUGGUUCUAGAAGGUUUUCGAGGAAACAAUUUCGGAGUAGGAAACUAAGUCUUGAAAAGAGGUAGCGGGAGCUAACCUUUCCAAGCUUUUAUAUUAUGAUAAAUAUUUUUGUAUAACUAUUCAUGUCUUGAAAUUAUGUGCAAUUAUUGUUAAUGA
This 258-nucleotide long non-coding RNA is filed under the name Vigna radiata. Its description in RNAcentral is "long non-coding RNA (VRAD_LNC003710)". The record is from RNAcentral. Lineage: Eukaryota; Viridiplantae; Streptophyta; Magnoliopsida; Fabales; Fabaceae.